CACUCGAAGUAAGCAGUAUGAACAUUUACACCUUUUAGUAAAUUGCCUGUCUAGACCAGGAAAGUACAUAACUACUAUUCAUGAGAUAUAUAGUUGUCUGACAAUUGCCAAAAUUUCACUUGCAGGCCUCUUAUGGUUUUGCUGUCUUUAACCUUUAAAUUACUAACUUUUAAACUUAUCCUUCACUGUUAGUGGCAUCCACAUAUUUCAUCAUAUUGAGUAAUUUUAUUACCCUUUAAAAACUUUUAGUAUAAAGAAUUAACCAAACCAAUUUGGUGAAAUUAUUCACUUUCUAUGUGUGAAUAAAUAAGGUACCUCAGUAGUAAGAACUAGUGGGAUUAAUUGCAAUAUUGAUGAUACUUACAUUUCUUUGUUUUCCUCGGGACCUUGUUAAGUGAUGGAUGGCAAAUAAUGGAGUGUAAAAAUAACUUAGAAGUAUAUUUGUUUAAUCUAGGGCUAAUAAUUUCCCAAGAAAACUAACUUGCUAUCUUGAACAGACAGUCCAAAACAAGAAUGCUCUAAAUUCAGAAAAUGGCUUAUUGGUGGUCUGAGUCACCUCAGUGUUAGGCUGUUGUACAAGUUCACAAAGGAAGAUACAUCCAAAUUCUGAAUGUUGCAGUCUCAGCUAUAGGAAGCUGUACGAAUUAAUAAAGGAAUCAUCUACUAGGCUUGAGCUACAAACGACUAGAAAUAUGUGUACCUAAAAGAUUUCUUGACUGGCCUGAUUUGUUACUGUUGGUUCUUGUAUACCUGUUCAUGUAAUUUUUUUUGCAAUCUGUUCACAAAUUACUAAGCAGUAGCAUUCUUCUUUUUAAACAGGGAACAUGGUCAAGAUUGCAGCACAGAUUCUUUGUGCAUUUGUUUCUUCUGGAUUUAAUUCCAUCACUGCUCUUACUUGCUCUGCAGGAAAAAUUGAUGACAAAUGAUAGAAAACUUUGUGCCGAGAAUCAUCC
This 953-nucleotide long non-coding RNA is filed under the name Limulus polyphemus (Atlantic horseshoe crab). Its description in RNAcentral is "uncharacterized LOC111086851, transcript variant X1". Lineage: Eukaryota; Metazoa; Arthropoda; Merostomata; Xiphosura; Limulidae. The record is from RNAcentral.